Cimex lectularius (bed bug) is the source of this 925-nucleotide long non-coding RNA. RefSeq lists it as uncharacterized. The record is from RefSeq and is a predicted model, not a curated record. NCBI's taxonomy places the organism in Eukaryota, Metazoa, Arthropoda, Insecta, Hemiptera, Cimicidae. The transcript is spliced from 3 exons.
GAAAGGUAAACAUUCCUCUAUUAUGGAUUUGUGAAUGUAAACGCGAGCCGUAUCAGUGUCAGUUUGGAUUUAUUCAUCAUUUUCUUUUUAGCCGAACGUCUCAUUUAAAACGAUAUUCACACAUGCACCAAUUUGUUUACGAGCGGGAAAAACGAGGGGACAUGAAGUUUUGAUGUAACGAGUCUGAAAUUAUAGCAGUUUUAUCAUACCCGCACAUGGAUAUUUUUCAGUUCCUCACUGAAGAUGGUACAAAUUCGAAAUGGGUAUGAAUGACAUAUCCAAACCCGCGAGAUAGACGGACCCAUUAAGGGACGUAGUAACAGUUCAAAUUUGAAAUAUAAUUUUUUUUAAAAACAUUACUUAUUUAACUUCUUAACAGCUCCAACAAAAAGAACGAUAAUUAAUAAAUUUAUUUAUUUCACACUUCCACGUAACUUUUAUUUUUUAAUAAAUUGGCUGAAUAGGGCCACGGAAAUUAUUGGAAUCGUUCGUAAAUGGUUUCCGUGCGUUUCGCAAAUAGUGUACAUUCUAUAAAGGAAAAAUGAAGUUUUACCAAUUAAAUAGCACUUCUCGCCAUAAUUAACGUUAACAGGGGAAAAACUAACGUGCAACAAAUUUCCAAAAUAAUUUCUUCACUGAGAAGAUUUCAUAAAGGGCGUUAACGGUAGAGAAAAUUCUGUCAUCACUAUCUUGUAAAUAAGCGAAAAGAAAGAAAAAGAGAAAAAAAAAGACAACGGCAGAAAUUGUCAAAGCUUUGAAGACCCUUACCUCAAAUUAUAAUGAGAUUGGCUGUUCAAAAAAAGCAGAUUUGGUGCAUGGUAUGGUAAGGUAUGGUAAUGAGGAACCAGCUUUUGUGAUUGACUCCUCACUGUGGCAUCAUCUUGCCCUUAGAUUGUCGCUGAAGAAGGAUUUCGCUAAACAUUAG